Molecule: long non-coding RNA, 398 nt
Filed under: Capsicum annuum
Lineage: Eukaryota; Viridiplantae; Streptophyta; Magnoliopsida; Solanales; Solanaceae
Description: long non-coding RNA (CANN_LNC017111)
Source: RNAcentral
UGAAGAUAGAGAUGAGCGAAAUUGGAUGCCUUUACAAUGGCGGAGGAGGUGCCUAUUAAUAGGGUACGAAUAUUGCUAUCCAAUGCAUGGGAGAAUGCCACUUUAAACCUGCAGUACAAUAGCUAAUGGACGAUGAUCACUUGCCGCUGAGCCAUUUGAGUGUGCCAUCCCAGUAUUGCAUAUCUGACGAGAUUCAGCCGAGGGUUGUCUAUGCCGUUGAGAACCCUGACUCACUGUCUUUGUGUCUUUCCUUUCGUGUGUCGUCACCAUCGUUGGUAUUCUCUAGCCAUUCCUUUCCUUUCCCGAGCAGACAUUCCUUCAUUUCAAUUUCGUCCCCGGGAAAACGCCUAUAUUGGGGCCUGUUUCAAUUCUACCAGAUCGAGUCGGCCCAAUCUUUA